Molecule: ribosomal RNA, 422 nt
Filed under: uncultured bacterium
Lineage: Bacteria
Also listed under: 1 other name
Description: bacterial SSU rRNA
Rfam family: Bacterial small subunit ribosomal RNA
Source: RNAcentral
UAAGGAAUAUUGGUCAAUGGGCGGAAGCCUGAACCAGCCAUGCCGCGUGCAGGAUGACUGCCCUAUGGGUUGUAAACUGCUUUUGUCCAGGAAUAAACCUUUCUACGUGUAGGAAGCUGAAUGUACUGGAAGAAUAAGGAUCGGCUAACUCCGUGCCAGCAGCCGCGGUAAUACGGAGGAUCCGAGCGUUAUCCGGAUUUAUUGGGUUUAAAGGGUGCGUAGGCGGCCUAUUAAGUCAGGGGUGAAAUACGGUGGCUCAACCAUCGCAGUGCCUUUGAUACUGAUGGGCUUGAAUCCAUUUGAAGUGGGCGGAAUAAGACAAGUAGCGGUGAAAUGCAUAGAUAUGUCUUAGAACUCCGAUUGCGAAGGCAGCUCACUAAGCUGGUAUUGACGCUGAUGCACGAAAGCGUGGGGAUCGAACA